RNAcentral lists this long non-coding RNA (274 nucleotides) under Sorghum bicolor (sorghum). Its description in RNAcentral is "long non-coding RNA (SBIC_LNC016336)". The record is from RNAcentral. Lineage: Eukaryota; Viridiplantae; Streptophyta; Magnoliopsida; Poales; Poaceae.
ACGGCGGCGCUGUCCAAAAGCUCCAAGAUCUUCAACGAAGUCCCUUCUUUACCAACUCCGAAGCCCUCGCUCAUCCUCCUCGUGACAAAAUGGCCGUCAACUUCAUCAUUCCUGAGGUCAGUUCUUCGCGCCAUCCCUUGUACCUUUUCUCGCACCCCUGUUCAUUCGCAAUCUUACUGAGCAUUUUCUUUUUCUUUCUUUGCAUUUUUCUUUUCCACUAGGAAUUAGCCAACAAAAUUGUCAUCCCCACCGAUCAGCCACACCUUCAAUGCCU